This 460-nucleotide ribosomal RNA is filed under the name uncultured bacterium. RNAcentral describes it as "partial 16S ribosomal RNA". It matches the Rfam family "Bacterial small subunit ribosomal RNA", at positions 338 to 795 of the family's 1533-position model. The record is from RNAcentral.
CCUACGGGAGGCAGCAGUGAGGAAUAUUGGUCAAUGGACGAGAGUCUGAACCAGCCAAGCCGCGUGAAGGAUGACUGCCCUAUGGGUUGUAAACUUCUUUUAUAUGGGAAUAAAAUGUUCCACGUGUGGGAUUUUGUAUGUAUCAUAUGAAUAAGGAUCGGCUAACUCCGUGCCAGCAGCCGCGGUAAUACGGAGGAUCCGAGCGUUAUCCGGAUUUAUUGGGUUUAAAGGGAGCGUAGGUGGAUUGGUAAGUCAGUUGUGAAAGUUUGCGGCUCAACCGUAAAAUUGCAGUUGAAACUGGCAGUCUUGAGUACAGUAGAGGUGGGCGGAAUUCGUGGUGUAGCGGUGAAAUGCUUAGAUAUCACGAAGAACUCCGAUUGCGAAGGCAGCUUACUGGACUGCAACUGACACUGAGGCUCGAAAGUGUGGGUAUCAAACAGGAUUAGAUACCCUUGUAGUC